UACGGAGGGAGCUAGCGUUGUUCGGAAUUAUUGGGCGUAAAGAGCUCGUAGGCGGUUUGUCGCGUCUGCUGUGAAAACUGGAGGCUCAACCUCCAGCCUGCAGUGGGUACGGGCAGACUAGAGUGCGGUAGGGGAGAUUGGAAUUCCUGGUGUAGCGGUGGAAUGCGCAGAUAUCAGGAGGAACACCGGUGGCGAAGGCGGGUCUCUGGGCAGUAACUGACGCUGAGGAGCGAAAGCGUGGGGAGCGAACAGG
RNAcentral lists this ribosomal RNA (253 nucleotides) under uncultured bacterium. RNAcentral describes it as "partial 16S ribosomal RNA". It matches the Rfam family "Bacterial small subunit ribosomal RNA", at positions 524 to 776 of the family's 1533-position model. The record is from RNAcentral.